This 468-nucleotide ribosomal RNA is filed under the name uncultured bacterium. Its description in RNAcentral is "partial 16S ribosomal RNA". It matches the Rfam family "Bacterial small subunit ribosomal RNA", at positions 28 to 507 of the family's 1533-position model. The record is from RNAcentral.
GACGAACACUGGCGGCGUGCUUAACACAUGCAAGUCGAACGGAAAGGCCCUGCUUUUGUGGGGUGCUCGAGUGGCGAACGGGUGAGUAACACGUGAGUAACCUGCCCUUGACUUUGGGAUAACUUCAGGAAACUGGGGCUAAUACCGGAUAGGAGCUCCUGCUGCAUGGUGGGGGUUGGAAAGUUUCGGCGGUUGGGGAUGGACUCGCGGCUUAUCAGCUUGUUGGUGGGGUAGUGGCUUAUCAAGGCUUUGACGGGUAGCCGGCCUGAGAGGGUGACCGGCCACAUUGGGACGGAGAUACGGCCCAGACUCCUACGGGAGGCAGCAGUGGGGAAUAUUGCACAAUGGGCGGAAGCCUGAUGCAGCAACGCCGCGUGCGGGAUGACGGCCUUCGGGUUGUAAACCGCUUUCGCCUGUGACGAAGCGUGAGUGACGGUAAUGGGUAAAGAAGCACCGGCUAACUACGUG